RNAcentral lists this ribosomal RNA (548 nucleotides) under uncultured bacterium. RNAcentral describes it as "bacterial LSU rRNA". It matches the Rfam family "Bacterial large subunit ribosomal RNA", at positions 1167 to 1821 of the family's 2925-position model. The record is from RNAcentral.
AAGAUGUACCGGGGCUCAAGCCACGAGCCGAAGCUUUGGGUUCGCCGUAAGGCGAGCGGUAGCGGAGCGUUCCGUAAGCCUGUGAAGGGACAGUCGUGAGACAUCCUGGAGGUAUCGGAAGUGCGAAUGCUGACAUGAGUAACGACAAACACUGUAGAAAGACAGUGUCGCCGAAAGUCCAAGGGUUCCUGCGUAAAGUUAAUCUUCGCAGGGUUAGCCGGCCCCUAAGGCGAGGCAGAAAUGCGUAGUCGAUGGGAACCACGUUAAUAUUCGUGGGCCAGCGGGUGGUGACGGAUCUCUUAUAUCGUUCGGUCUUACUGGAUUGACCGGGCGGUGACGAGGUUCCAGGAAAUAGCCCCCGCAUGAGACCGUACCCGAAACCGACACAGGUGGACAGGUAGAGUAUACCAAGGCGCUUGAGAGAAUGACGCUGAAGGAACUCGGCAAUUUGCCUCCGUAACUUCGGGAUAAGGAGGCCCAUGCGUCGCGCAAGCGGCGUGUGGGGGCACAGACCAGGGGGUGGCAACUGUUUAACAAAAACACAGGGC